This 73-nucleotide transfer RNA is filed under the name Hyphomicrobiaceae bacterium. Its description in RNAcentral is "tRNA-Arg". It matches the Rfam family "tRNA". Rfam says of the family: Transfer RNA (tRNA) molecules are approximately 80 nucleotides in length. Their secondary structure includes four short double-helical elements and three loops (D, anti-codon, and T loops). Further hydrogen bonds mediate the characteristic L-shaped molecular structure. tRNAs have two regions of fundamental functional importance: the anti-codon, which is responsible for specific mRNA codon recognition, and the 3' end, to which the tRNAs corresponding amino acid is attached (by aminoacyl-tRNA synthetases). tRNAs cope with the degeneracy of the genetic code in two manners: having more than one tRNA (with a specific anti-codon) for a particular amino acid; and 'wobble' base-pairing, i.e. permitting non-standard base-pairing at the 3rd anti-codon position. The record is from RNAcentral. Lineage: Bacteria; Pseudomonadati; Pseudomonadota; Alphaproteobacteria; Hyphomicrobiales; Hyphomicrobiaceae.
GCCUCUGAUCGUUUAGGUGGUAGGACGUUUCAUCCCGAAUGAUUUGUGCUGGUUCGAAUCCAGCUCAGGGGCA